This 500-nucleotide ribosomal RNA is filed under the name uncultured bacterium. RNAcentral's name for it is "partial 16S ribosomal RNA". It matches the Rfam family "Bacterial small subunit ribosomal RNA", at positions 28 to 507 of the family's 1533-position model. The record is from RNAcentral.
GACGAACGCUGGCGGCGUGCUUAACACAUGCAAGUCGAACGGGUCUGCCCUGUUUUUUGCGGGGUGGGUCAGUGGCGAACGGGUGAGUAACACGUGAGUAACCUGCCCCUCACUUCUGGAUAACCGCUUGAAAGGGUGGCUAAUACGGGGUGUUCUGGCUGUGCCGCAUGGUGUGGCUGGGAAAGAUUCACUUUUGUGGUGUUUUGGUGGGGGAUGGGCUCGCGGCCUAUCAGCUUGUUGAUGGGGUGAUGGCCUGCCAAGGCUUUGACGGGUAGCCGGCCUGAGAGGGUGGGCGGUCACACUGGGACUGAGAUACGGCCCAGACUCCUGCGGGAGGCAGCAGUGGGGGGUAUUGCACAAUGGGCGGAAGCCUGAUGCAGCGACGUCGCGUGAGGGAUGGAGGCCUUCGGGUUGUGAACCUCUUUCGCCGGUGAAGAAGGUCCUGCUCUUUGUGGUGGGGUUGACGGUAGCCGGGUUAUGAAGCGCCGGCUAACUACGUG